GAAUAUUGGUCAAUGGGCGCAAGCCUGAACCAGCCAUGCCGCGUGCAGGAUGACGCAUCUAUGGUGUGUAAACUGCUUUUGUACAGGAAGAAACCCUCCAACGAGUUGGAGCUUGACAGUACUGUAAGAAUAAGGAUCGGCUAACUCCGUGCCAGCAGCCGCGGUAAUACGGAGGAUCCAAGCGUUGUCCGGACUCAUUGGGUUUAAAGGGUCCGUAGGCGGCCUUAUAAGUCAGCGGUGAAAGUUUUUGGCUUAACCAAAAAAUUGCCAUUGAUACUGUAGGGCUUGAAUGUUUGUGAAGUAACUAGAAUAUGUAGUGUAGCGGUGAAAUGCUUAGAUAUUACAUGGAAUACCAAUUGCGAAGGCAGGUUACUAACAAAUGAUUGACGCUGAUGGACGAAAGCGUGGGUAGCGAACAGG
Molecule: ribosomal RNA, 420 nt
Filed under: uncultured bacterium
Lineage: Bacteria
Description: bacterial SSU rRNA
Rfam family: Bacterial small subunit ribosomal RNA
Source: RNAcentral